UACGGGGGGGGCAAGCGUUGUUCGGAAUUACUGGGCGUAAAGGGCUCGUAGGCGGCCAACUAAGUCAGACGUGAAAUCCCUCAGCUUAACUGGGGAACUGCGUCUGAGACUGGUGGGCUUGAGUGCAGGAGAGGAACGCGGAAUUCCAGGUGUAGCGGUGAAAUGCGUAGAUAUCUGGAGGAACACCGGUGGCGAAGGCGGCGUUCUGGACUGCUACUGACACUGAGGAACGAAAGCCAGGGGAGCAAACGGG
RNAcentral lists this ribosomal RNA (253 nucleotides) under uncultured bacterium. RNAcentral's name for it is "partial 16S ribosomal RNA". It matches the Rfam family "Bacterial small subunit ribosomal RNA", at positions 524 to 776 of the family's 1533-position model. The record is from RNAcentral.